Long non-coding RNA from Carlito syrichta (Philippine tarsier), 328 nucleotides. RefSeq lists it as uncharacterized. The record is from RefSeq and is a predicted model, not a curated record. The transcript is spliced from 3 exons. NCBI's taxonomy places the organism in Eukaryota, Metazoa, Chordata, Mammalia, Primates, Tarsiidae.
GGCAAGAGUCCUUGCCAGAAAUGGCUGUGUGGAACCCGGGGCCAGUGUCUGAGUGGGAGAGACAGACACCUCUCGAAACAGUCCCUCAGAAUUCUACCCACCGUGCCUGUGGACAGCAUCCCGACUUCAGCCCUGGGACACGUCGCCUUGGAAUCCUGCCAUGUUCCCCCCUGCCAUUCUCCAGAAAGGCUUCUAGAAUUGUCUGCUUUCCACCACCUGUUCCGAUGGGAAGAUCAAGCUAAACCUGUUACUGUCCCAGGAACGCUCGAGUGCUCUCCCCGUGCAGCAAGAUCAUGUUGGGAGCCAGCCUUGGAGGCCCGCCUGAUUG